UACGAAGGGGGCUAGCGUUGUUCGGAAUCACUGGGCUUAAAGGGCGCGUAGGCGGGUGUGCAAGUCUGUGGUGAAAGCCUCCAGCUUAACUGGAGAAGUGCCGUGGAUACUGCACAUCUUGAGGAGGGUAGGGGCAUCUGGAACGGUCGGUGGAGCGGUGAAAUGCGUUGAUAUCGACCGGAGCUCCGGUGGCGAAGGCGAGGUGCUGGACCCUUUCUGACGCUGAGGCGCGAAAGCCAGGGGAGCAAACGGG
This 253-nucleotide ribosomal RNA is filed under the name uncultured bacterium. RNAcentral's name for it is "partial 16S ribosomal RNA". It matches the Rfam family "Bacterial small subunit ribosomal RNA", at positions 524 to 776 of the family's 1533-position model. The record is from RNAcentral.